Canis lupus familiaris (dog) is the source of this 1726-nucleotide long non-coding RNA. RefSeq lists it as uncharacterized. Lineage: Eukaryota; Metazoa; Chordata; Mammalia; Carnivora; Canidae. The record is from RefSeq and is a predicted model, not a curated record. The transcript is spliced from 3 exons.
GAAAUCUCUCAGAGCAGUAAAAGUUCUUCCACAGUGUCUCCUACAAACUGUUGCCUGGUUUCUUCACUUUGCUUUGAUGUUUUCUGCAGUUACUGAGAUAAAGGAGUCACGAAAAGUUAAAUGUUCCCAAGUGACUGAUGAGUUAGGGGUACAGUAUUGAGAAGGACCGACUGAAACACAGGUUCCGUGCAUCAGGCUUUGAGUAAAUUGCAUAGGAAACUUCUCUGAUUGAAUGUUGGAGGUCAUCUUUUGGAGAUCUACAGUGACUUCGGUCUCCUGGUAUAUAUGCUGAUUACUGGAAGAACGAAAUACCUACGUGUCGGAAGUGGUCCUGAGAUUAGUGUCUGCCUGUCUGCGAUCGGCAAAGUGAAGUCACCUCCACCAGGUUGCAUUUCAUAUGAGAGAUGGGCCAGUGCUCCUGGUAGGGAAUCUACACCAGCUGAGCCCCACUCAUCUGACGGGCAAGCACGAGGCUCCCUAGAGUGACAGAUGACUUGUUAGGGUUACUUAAGAACAUUAUUAUUUAUCAUAGAGAAGAGGGCUCAGGGAAGGGAGAGGGAGAGAGAGGGAGGAACUUAAAUUUUCCACAGUUGAAGAGCGUCCAAGCCACAUUGUCUUGGCAUUCAGCUACCAUUAAACGGUCGUAACUCGAUGGCAACAGCCUCCACCGAGACUGUUCUAGGCUCGGGGCCUUGUCUGUUUCCCGUGUCUGAGUUGGGUGCCACUCCUGGACUCUGCCUUGAAGGCUGCAGGUACCUGUGGUAUGUGUACGCUUCACCGCGUUGCCUCUGAAGGCUUCUGUGCACUGUGGGAAGCUGGGACCAUGACGACCUUGUUUAUCAUUUCGGUUGGAGAUCCUACCAAGUGGCUCACCAGGGAUUAUCAUUCACUAAAUACUAAUGGCAGUUGCAUACAGUGCUCUCUUAAUGCAAAAAAGAUCAAGGAAAGAAUGUAUUCACAGCUACAGUCACAUACGCUCACGCUCUCUCCCUUUCUAUGCCCACCCCUCCACGUUGAGCCCCAACUCCGAUGCCCACCCCCUUCCAUGUCGAGCCCCAACUCCUAUGCCCACCCCCUUCCACAUCGAGCCCCAACUCCAGUGCCCACCUCCUUCCAGGUCGAGCCCUGACUCUGAUGCCCACCCCCUUCCACAUCAAGCCCCGACUCUGGUGCCCACCCCCUUCCAUGUCGAGCCCCGACUCCUUCCUAGCUGGUUUCUCUGCCUAUUACCCAAGAACCAGAGCGGAUGGCUUAGAGAUGGCAGAUGCUGGGCUGUCACAGAUAAUAUACAGGGUGUACAUGACAUCUAGAAGUGGUAGCUUUAACAGAGAAGCAACUUUUUGAUAUGGCCUAAAAGUAAACCACUAAACUUUCAGCUUCCCGAAAAGAAUCCAUAAAUGUACUCAAUGGACACUCUUACCCCACAGCGAGCCUUACCCCAAUUCUAAGCAAAUCAAGCUCUUCAGUGACCUCUGGACGGUGACACAGGUGACAGGGUUCGUGGUCAAGCCAGGGCUGGGUUUCCUGACCCUUCCAGCAGUGUGUUCUGAGCAUGCUCUAGUCCAAGGCAGCACGGGCUGCCAUAACCGAAUGCCACUGAUGGGGUGGCUUACACAACAGGCAUUUAUUUCUUGCAGUUCUUACAGUUUUGGAGGCUGGGAAGCCCAAGAUUAGGGUGCUGGCAGACUCAGUGUCUGGGAGGGGCCCACUUCCUGGUUUGCAGACA